GACGAACGCUGGCGGCGUGCUUAACACAUGCAAGUCGAACGGAAAGGCUCCAGCUUGCUGGAGUGCUCGAUUGGCGAACGGGUGAGUAACACGUGGGCAAUCUGCCCUGCACUCUGGGAUAAGCCUGGGAAACUGGGUCUAAUACCGUAUAGGACCUUUCUCCCCAUUGGGUUUGGUGGAAAGUGUUUCGGUGCAGGAUGAGCCCGCGGCCUAUCGGCUUGUUGGUGGGGUAAUGGCCUACCAAGGCGACGCCGGGUAGCCGGCCUGAGAGGGUGGUCGGGCACAUUGGGACUGAGAGACGGCCCAGACUCCUACGGGAGGCAGCAGGGGGGAAUAUUGCACAAUGGGCGAAAGCCUGAUGAGGCGACGCCGCGGGAGGGAUGACGGCCUUCGGGUUGUAAACCGCUUUCAGUAGGGACGAAGCGCAAGUGACGGUACCUGCAGAAGAAGCACCGGCUAACUACGUG
This 467-nucleotide ribosomal RNA is filed under the name uncultured bacterium. Its description in RNAcentral is "partial 16S ribosomal RNA". It matches the Rfam family "Bacterial small subunit ribosomal RNA", at positions 28 to 507 of the family's 1533-position model. The record is from RNAcentral.